Molecule: non-coding RNA, 28 nt
Filed under: Rattus norvegicus (Norway rat)
Lineage: Eukaryota; Metazoa; Chordata; Mammalia; Rodentia; Muridae
Source: RNAcentral
UAAUAGUGCCGUGAACAUCCUGGGAGUU